UUUUUUCUUUCUUUUUUGGCAGCCCUGUGGCAUACGGAAUUCCCGGGCCAGGGAUUGGAUCCUAGCCACAGCUGUGGCAAUGCCGGAUCCUUAAACCCACUGUGCCAAGCUGGGGAUCAAACCUUCUUCCUGGUCCUGCAGAAAAGCUGCUGAUCCCAUCGUGCCACAGUGGGAGCUCUCCUUUUCUUUACUUUUCUUUUCUUUUCUUUAUAAUCAAAAUAAUUAUUUUUCAUCAAUCAUAAAUGCUCAGGUCUUGUCUGUCAUUUUCCCACAAAUUCAAUAAACUUAAAAAGAAAACCCUUUCAAUAAGUUAAUAUUGAAUGUGCGGAUUCAAUCAUUUCAUUUUCCACUUAUUUUUUCUUGGUAUCAUAAUUCGGGUUUGUAGACCACCCUCUUUCUAUGUGUGCCUAAUAACCAUUCUUGGGGGCUAUGGAGGCUUCUCACAAAUUCAGAUUUUAUUUUAUUUUGGACCACACCCAGGGCAUAUAGAAGUUCCCGGGCUAGGGGCUGAAUCAGAGGUACAGCUGACAGCAUGCACCACAGCCACAGCAAUGUGGGAUCUGAGCUGCGUCUGCAACCUACACCACAGCUCAUGACAACACCAGAUCCUUAACCCACUGAGUGAGGCCAGGGAUCAAACCUGCAUCCUCAGAGAUACUAGUCGGAUUAAUUUCCACUGCUCCACAAUGGGAACUCCACAAAUUCAGAUUUUAUUCCAGAGAGUUGCAAGAGAUCUGAGAAAGAAUGAUAACAAAAGCUCAAGAUACUUUAAGAUUUUUAAAUAUAAAUAAAAUGAAAUAUUUUAAUUUCAAGGAAUAUCCUUGUGCUUAGGUGAGUUCUUCCUUGUUCUCCAAAACCACAGGGUAAUUUUCUUAUGGGUUUUCUCAGGCACUGAAAGCAGAAUGCAGCCAAGCAGGCUGCCUUCCACAAGACAGAAACGUCUCAACUUGAUCAUGCGUUCUAGGUCUUCAUUCUGCAGCUAGCUGAAGUGGGAUAGACUGUAGAAGCAAGUCCUAUGCCACUCUGUUAGAGGAAAUGGAAUCUGCAGAUGACAUUAGAGGCAGCAGGUAACUUCAGCGUGCUCUCAGACCAGCCUAUCCAGCCUUAACCUUCUCUUUGGAAUAUGCCAUUGUGCCGAGACCAGCUCAGCGGCUGAGGGCUGAAGAAAGGGUGCUGUGAAAGUUAAGGAGAAAAGUUAACAUAAAGCAAGACACAGAGGCACUUAUCUUAAGUAAAGGUGGGACCCGGGGGACUCAGGUCUCAGGGGCCAAGAGCCCCGCCUCUAGAAACCCCACUGCUUUUCUGGUGCUCCUGAGGAUGAGGCCAAGUGAGGAGGGGGUUGCAGCUGCAGGAUAGAGGCUUUUUAAAGUUAUCUUAGAAGUCUCAUAGCCGGUUGGUGAUUAAGCUUUUGUUCUGACCUUUAGGCAUUUACCAGUCAUUAGCAUUGAGGAAGCUCGGAGUCAGCUAUCUAUGCAGAGCAUCUAGAGAAUCAGCCUAGGUUGGCGCCUCGGUUCUCCUGGCUGAUGCAUAUCCUGCUAAGGACCCCUCAUGAACCCCUUGGGGCCCUGAGGCUCAUCUUCCUCUUAUUCUUUGGAGGACACAGCACGCUGUGCAAACGGUGCGCCUAUCUGCACAGGUCCAGCGUGCCUAGACCCACGCAUUAGGUCCUCAUUCAGCUGACCCCAUGGAUAAUAUAUGCCUCUAGGUCUUUGUGCUUAAGCUCACGUCAUUCACCAGCACUGUGACUGUUUUUCAAGCAGGAAGAUAGGGUAAAGCAAAGCAAGAUAGAGGUUUCAGCAUAGAAAACAGAAGCAAAGAGCCUAAGAAAAGAUUGUAGAAACGUCUCGAGGCACCAUUGUGCCUUGCAAGUGUUACAAAGUGAGCUUCAGGUCAAAGGAAAUGAAAGCCCAGCUCCAAAGGGCUCAGUUGCCUCCCGCGACAGAGGCAGGCCGUCUACCUCUGCGCUAGAAACUCAGCCAAGCACUACUGUCAGCUCCCGGUUUCCCAGCUCAGGUCACUGACACCGGAGUCCGGGCUCCAGUCCGCGCGUAGCCUGUUUCCACUGCCAACAUUGUGACAUUGUGUCAUUCAUUUCUGCCAUUUCUAACAAAUAAGAUGACUUAAUGAAAUUACAUAUACUGGCCUCAAGUUUUAAAGUCCACGCAUGUUCCUAUGUAUGCACGCCAGUGUUUAUAGAGACAUAGGAAAAUCACCAGAAAGCAGGGCUGAAGUCCUAUCAACACCAAAACGUUUCUCUUAAAUAAGUCCAUUUUGGGAAAAGCGCUGUCACAUGGUCCUUGCACAUAAUUGCCUCACCUCUGAACUGCUGCGUUCACAUCUGGUCAUGAGGUGGGGGCUGGUUUUGACAGGAACCUGAUGGCAGUUUGCCUGUGUGUUUUGAGUCUGAAAAUGUAGUUGGCUGAUGUUUUGAGUCAAGGGGUCAGAAUAAACCACACCUCUUUCCCUGCUUUAGAGACAUACACUGCACUGGAAUUAGCUCUGUGUGUGUGUGUGUGUGUGUGUGGAGGGAGGGAAGGAGGGAGGGAGGGAAAGAUUGGGUGUGGGGUUGGGAUGAAAGGAAUGUGGCAGAGGAAAAACACCUGCUACCUUGCAAUUUAGCUUUUUCCAGGACUGGAUUUCUUAUUGCCCUCACAGCAGGGUUUCAGUGCCCCAGGUGGAAAACCAAGUUGUCCCAAAAUAAAAUUGACACCACUACGGAUGGGGGGGGGGGGCGAAUAUGCUUCAUAUUCUGACGUUGUAAGUAUCAGACUAUUGGAUGGUGUCACAGGAUAGACGUCUCUCUCCCUUUCAGGUUAGGGCUCCAGGACCCAGACAACCUUGGCCUUGAGACAAAGCACAGAUGGGUGUUCAUCCCCAUCUGUGAUGGGGCUGGAGAAAAAAGGCAUAAUAAGCAGGGUGGGGUGAUUCUUUAAAAGGAAAUCCGAACAGCUGCCUGGAAUUACUGCUGUAUAUGCUGGUGGGCUCCGUUUAGGUUCAUGAUAAGUGUUCCCUCUGAUUUUAAGAAGUGACAUAGUUCUGAUCACAAUUCAUCCCAUUUCUCCCCCUUCCAGCGGGACUCGACUUCCGCCCCCCUUGUCAAGGGGGAACCGCAUGGAAGAAGCGUCCGGGUGGAGGAGGGGCUGCCCUCGGUGACCCCGGGGGUGACAGAGUCAGAACUGGCCAUUCCCCAACCGGCCCCUGUUUCUCGGGGGGGGGGGCAGGUGAAGACGGAAGAUCACUGAUCACAGUCCCCUGUGCCCUUGUUUCGGGGGCUCUCGGAGCUGAACGGGGCACAGGGAGGUGGCCAACUGCCCACGUGACGGCGUCGCGGGGACCGGAGAAGGAGGCUCCGCGGGCCGCCCCCACCUCUCGCCUCCGUUGUCCCCUCUGCCAGGGACCAGUGUUGGGGCGACAUUUUUCGAUCCUGUUUCCGUCUUUCUUUUCAAAGGGACCCGCUGAGCGGACCGAUGAUGGGAAGACAGGACAGGCUCCGUCCCUCCCCGACCUUCCGCCGUCAGAAGUACCUGUUCCGACCCGCCUUUCCCGCCCCUCUGGGACCUCGGCUCCAGGGAGGCCCUGCGCGCGCCCCGGGGGUGGGCAGGGAAGGGCAGCCCUGGGAGAAGGGCCUCGGGUCCAAACCCGAAUCAAGCGUUGCCAUCGUGAAAACGUACUUUCUGCUCCCUGACGCCUUCGUUCCCUGCAUUUCUCGGAACGCAGCGUCGGAAGCAAAGCGGACAAGAGAAGGUCCCUUGGGAGGAGCCCCCACCGCCUGAACCCCAGCUCUGACGGCAGCAGGGCUCUGCCCUCGGGGAAACCAGCGAUGCUCUCCAUUGGUCAAAUGAGGAUAACGUCUGAGAUCCUACCUCUCAGGACCAGGUGAAGACGCAUUCAUGGAAAGGCACACCAGGCAGGCCAUACAUCAAAAAGCAAAUAUUCUGGAGCAUUUGCUUUGUGCUACAAACAUUCCUAAGUAUUUCAUAGGUGGUACCUCAAGUAAUCCUCAGACCUCUGUGAGGCAGGGUCUGUGUUUUGAUCUUCUUUUACAAGGAGGACGUGGAAGCACAGAGAGGGUGAAGAACUUACCCAACGUCACACAGCUAACAGGAAACAGAGUUGAGAUUCUAACACUAAUAGUCUGGCAUCAAGCCUGAGCUGGUAACCCCUGUGCUAGCCUCUCGAGUUAAUGACGGAGGACUCUAGCUUUAAAAAAUCAUUUUCCUACGAAAAUGAGAGAUUAUAUGGUCUGAAUACAAGUAUGGAAGAUAGGCAAGUCUCGAAAACACCAUCACAUGAUAAAAUGAGACUCUCUGAUCACUUGACCGAGGGAAGGUUGACCACUUUCCUGGUCCUUCCCCUCGUGCGUCCCACUGUCCCUUGCCUCAGUACUUUUGUCAUUGUUGCUCUUUGCUAAGACGUGAUUGGGACAAAAAUACUUGUAACUUGUGAUUUAUGAAGAAUGUUUGGGUCAUAGAAUCUGGUACACUUGAGAAGAAAGAGACUUUAAAGACCAUCGAAGAGAAAAUUCAGGCCCCCAGGAAGGGAUGGAACGUAACGAAGCCUACAAGCCCAAAGCUUAGCAAUGCCAGCACCAGGAUCUGGGAUUACCUCAGAUACAACUAAAAAAAAAAAAAAAAAAAAAAAAAAAAAAAANUAACCCAAAUUAAAUAUAGAAACUCGUUCCAUGAGAACAUCUUUUCCGUGUGUGUGUGUACACACAAGAGCGUGAAGAAAAGACUCGUGGGUUCUUUAGUUUUGUGGGUGGUGGGGCUACGUGUAGACCCUGUGAGCGUGUGCUUUUCCCCACGGUGGCGUUAAAACACGACUCGACUCUUGCUUGUUGAUGUCCAUUUGGUAACAGCCACAGAUACCUGGGAAAGCAUGGACAGCUUAGACAUCGAUGCUCCGAAUUAUCCAGCACAUCUGCGUUUAUCUAAGACGGGGCUUUGGUACAAGGCGAGUCAUCUUUGGUAACACAGGCAUACCUCAUUUUUGUGCCUCACAGAAUCUGUGUAACAAAUUGCAAUUUUGUGGCAAUCCUGCACCAAGAAAGCCAUUUUUCCACAAGCAUCUGCCCAUUCUGUCUCUGUCACAUUUUGGAAAUUCUCCAAUAUUUCAGUUUUUCACUGUUAUUGUAUUUGCUAUGGCGAGAGCCACGACCAGUCAUCUUUGAUGUGACAAAGGGGAAAAGAUGGCAGUUUGCUGAAGGCUCAGAUGAUGGUAAAGCAUUUUUUUAGCGAUAAAGUAUUUUUAAACUAAGGUCUCUGCAUUUUUUUUAGGUGUAAUGCUAAUGCACACUUAAUAGACUACAAUGUAGUGUAAACAUAACUUUUGUACACAGUAGAACACCAAAAAUUGUGUGUGACUCGCCUGUUUUUGGUAACAUUCGAUUUACUGCCGUGCUCUGGAACUGACCUCCCACCA
This 5421-nucleotide long non-coding RNA is filed under the name Sus scrofa (pig). RNAcentral's name for it is "lncRNA (ENSSSCG00065075850.1)". The record is from RNAcentral. Lineage: Eukaryota; Metazoa; Chordata; Mammalia; Artiodactyla; Suidae.